UAAUCCAUGUACUCAAACAGUACAGUGACUGAACUGCUGUGAAGAGAGAACUGAAGAUGAACACCGAGCCGAGCCGAGCCAGAUAAUGAACGAAAGAUUGACUCAUUCUUUGAGAUGAAGAGAUGAAGUUAUAUUUCUUGUGAUUAAGGUCAUUUACAGAAUAAUUACACAAUAAAUGUAUAUUAAAAUAAACAGUUACCUUUAUAUUUGAAAGAGGAGCUCCUCGCAAAGGUAUUAAAAAAAAUUAAUCCUUGCCUUGUAAAUACCAUGAUAUUUGAAUAAUAUGAUAAUCAUUCUGUAUGAUAUACAGUAUAUAUCCUAAUAUUAUUGAUACUGGCAGAUUACUUUUUUAAGGAACUGGUUUGUUUGACUAAAGAAAGAGUUCACUAAAAUUGAAUGUAUUCCUUUUUUUGUGCACUAUUAAUGUAAAGUUAAGUAAUUUUGUAUUUCUCUCAACAGUAAUAACUUCCAAAGAUCUACAGAAACAUGGAAAUAUUUGGGUUUGCACGAUUUCUGAUCUGGUCUGCACAUGCUUCUUUUUUGUGUACGAGGAUGGCCAGGUAGGAGAUGCUAACAUCAACACACAGGAUGUCCAGAUACAGAAAGAGAUUUUGCGGGUGACUGUGGGACAGUCAACCUAACUGACCCGUUUCAUCACUGUGACGCUUUGAGAAAGUUUACAAGGGAACAUAUGAACUGAAUAUGGUAAAGAUUUACCUUUUUUGAUGAUGCUAGCAUCCAGUCAAGUUUAUCUUUACGUUGAAACAAGGGAAACCCGUUUUGUAACUUUUUUGAUAAACAUUUUAUUAAUUUAUUUCUCAUUUAAUCUCUACAUCAUGUUCACUGCUUUAGAUUUUGUUUUUUACGUCAUGAGAAAAAAGUGACAAAUUAUCGUUGAAUUUAAAGCGGUUGAAAAGGUGUAAUUUCUAUUUUGCCCACUGGGGGUCUCUAUUGCUCUAUAACAGAAUUAAAAAUGGCAUAAAAAUAAUUUUGGUUUGAGUAUAUAAGCUUAUAAUUGUAUAAACCUGCCAUUUUAAAGUGUUUACAUCUACCAUUAUGGACAAUUUCGCAUUAUUAUGUACUGUUUGUUUACUAAUGCAGUCUAUCCAUCAGUUCAUUUUCAUGGGAAUGUUGCCAGUUACUUGUCAUGGAUCAUAACCUCUGAACAUGAAAUGUUAACAAGUUUAAGUGCUUGUUAGAAGGCACCAAACUUGAAGGCAUCGAGUUCUCGUUUACUUUUCAGAAGCUUCAACUGGAGAAGACUCCCAAUAAAAGACGCAUUACAGGUUAGAAAUGUAACAUAUGAUUGUGUCGAUGUCGAAAAACUAAUCUAAAGGAGGGUCAUGGUUUCAUACGGCCUAUAUUUGUAUGUCGGCAAUUAAUUUAGAGCAUGUUAUGAAUGAGUUACUUUGUAAAUGAUGCCAGAAUACUGGAUGUAUUGUGACCAAAUGAUCCCACAAUGACAGUAAAACUAAAGUGACCUGCAUUACGAAGACCUCUCAACAGCCCUAACAAUGAAAACAGGAUAUAAAGGGAUUAAACAGUGUCUUAAUUAAAAUCUAAACCUGCCAAAAUGUUUCUAUGAGUGGCUGGUGUAUAGGCUACCCUAGAAAUAUAAUUAAUUUUAUAUAAACAGAAGAUGUCAAUGGAAAGUCCCCAUAAUGGUGUUAAAUGCCUGUGCGCGCACAUGGGUCUAUUGUCAUUCUGUUAUCUGUCACGACCCCUACAAAAAUUAAUAGUGUGUUGAAUCCCGGAGUCCCAGAGGAGGUUUCGACUUCUCGGUUUAGCCAGCGGGUCUGUUCUCCUCUGAAGCAGAAACACGUAAUAAUUCAUAACAGUGCGCUACAUCCACAUGAGGCCCGCAUCUGCUCCAAGACCCCUACACUUCCUUCUCCCAUUUUACAUUAUAUUUUAAAUAAAU
Long non-coding RNA from Carassius auratus (goldfish), 1921 nucleotides. RefSeq lists it as uncharacterized. NCBI's taxonomy places the organism in Eukaryota, Metazoa, Chordata, Actinopteri, Cypriniformes, Cyprinidae. The record is from RefSeq and is a predicted model, not a curated record. The transcript has 2 exons.